RNAcentral lists this long non-coding RNA (586 nucleotides) under Brassica napus (rape). Its description in RNAcentral is "long non-coding RNA (BNAP_LNC012533)". Lineage: Eukaryota; Viridiplantae; Streptophyta; Magnoliopsida; Brassicales; Brassicaceae. The record is from RNAcentral.
GAGAGUAGAAGGGGAAAAUAUUCUUUUUCUGGCAGAACUGUCUACGCUAGUUUCACUAGCUUGGUUUCAACGGGAAGAGAAUUCGUGACUGAAUUCUUGUUGGAUGCUUUCAUCCUAAGGUGGGUUAAGAAAUAAGAGAAUAGGAGAAAGAGACCUGCAAUGACACAAUAUAGUGACGCAGUUGCAGAAGUUGUGGAGGAAGUGAAAAGCUCCGAGAACGAGUAGAAGGCAGAGUAGUAGUAGAUCAGAUUAUUUAAGUUUUAUCGUAUGUUUUAACGGGAAGAGAAUUCGUGAUUGAAUUCUUGCCGGAUACUUUCAUGAUAAGGUGGGUUAGGGAAGAGGAUGGUAGAAAGGCGCUUACAAGGACACAAUAUAGUGAUGCAGUGGCAUAAGUUGAAGAGAAAGUGAAAAGCUCCGAGAGCGAGGAGAAGGCGGAGUAGUACUAUAUCAGAUUAUUUAAGCUUUAUUGGAUGUUUAAUUAUCAGAAUUAAAUGUUGUUCCCCUUUUUGAAUUUGGUUCGGAUUAUUUAAGUUUUCUCGGAUGUUUUGUGGCGCAUAAAGCAGCUGAGAUGAUAAAAGAAGAAGAA